RNAcentral lists this ribosomal RNA (756 nucleotides) under uncultured bacterium. RNAcentral's name for it is "bacterial SSU rRNA". It matches the Rfam family "Bacterial small subunit ribosomal RNA", at positions 8 to 796 of the family's 1533-position model. The record is from RNAcentral.
AGAGUUUGAUCAUGGCUCAGGAUCAACGCUGGCGGCGUGCCUAACGCAUGUAAGUCGAACGCAGGACCUUCGGGUCUUGAGUGGCGAACGGCUGAGGAACACGUACGAACCUGCCCGCUUGUGGGGAAUAACUCACCGAAAGGUGUGCUAAUACCGCGUACGCUCACACGAGAGUGUGAGGAAAGUCGCAAGACGCUGGCGGAGGGGCGUGCGGCCCAUCAGGUAGUUGGUGGGGUAAUGGCCUACCAAGCCGAUGACGGGUAGCUGGUCUGUGAGGACGAUCAGCCAGACUGGGACUGCGAAACGGCCCAGACACCUACGGGUGGCAGCAGCGAGGAAUCUUCCACAAUGGGCGCAAGCCCGAUGGAGCAACGCCGCGUGGAGGACGACGGCCUUCGGGUUGUAAACUCCUUUCGGGGGGGAUGACACUGACAGUACCCCCAGAAGCAGCCCCGGCUAACUCUGUGCCAGCAGCCGCGGUAAUACAGAGGGGGCAAGCGUUGUCCGGAAUUACUGGGCGUACAGCGCGCGCAGGCGGACCGCCACGUGCCGUGUGACAAGCCACUGCUCAACAGUGGAGGGCCAUGGUACACGAGCAGUCUGGAGGCAGGGAGAGGGAUGUGGAAUGCCCGGUGGAGCGGUGAAAUGCGUAGAGAUCGGGCGGAACACCAGCGGCGAAGGCGGCAUCCUGGUCCUGUCCUGACGCUGAGGCGCGAGAGCGUGGGGAGCAAACUGGAUUAGAUACCCCUGUAGUCC